CACAUGUAGAUGUAGGCCCAGAACAAAUAAAAAUUCAUUUCUUAACCCAAAACCCAAAAUCCACAAACAAAAUCCCAAAACCCAAAGUCUACAAAUAAAAUCCUAAACCCAGAGCCUACAAAUAAAAUCCCAAAACCCAAACUCCACAAAUAAGGUCCAAAUCCCAAAACCCAAAGAUCCAAAAUCCAAAGUCCAUAAAUAACACCCAACCAAAUCUACCAAACCUAUGUCCCAAACCUAGUUCUUGGGCUUGCCAAAUGGGCUCCUUAGUAUGAAUUAAUUCUAAGAAUUAAUUUCUUGGACUUUCCAACUGACCCCUUUUCAUGAAUUAAUUUUACAAAUUAAUUUCAUGGGUUUGCCAAAUAGGCCCCUCAUCACAAAUUAAUUCUAUGAAUUAAUUUCAUGGGCCCUCCUUAUCAUAAAUUAAUUUCAUGGACUAAUGGGCCCUCCAAAUGGCCCUUUAUCAUAAAUUGAUUCAAUGGGCUCUCUAAAUGGCCCCCUAUCAUGAAUUAAUUUCAUCAAUUAAUUCAAUAGACUUUAUAAAUGGGCUUUUAGCAUGAAUUAAUUUCAUGAACUAAUUUUAUGAGAUUAAACCCAAAGCCGACCGCCAUGUCAUUAAACUGAGCACCAAAAUUCAAGCCGACCGCCAUAUCGCUAAACUGAGCAACUCAAUUUGAAAUCGACCGCCAAGUCGCUAAACUAAGCAAAUCAAAUUCUGAUACGACCGUCAAGUCGUUAAACUGAGUAUUUGACCAUCAAGUCGUUAAACUGAAUAUCCGACCGCCAUGUCAUUAAACUGAGCACCAAAAUUGAACCCGACCACCAUGUCGCUAAACUGAGAAAUCCAAUUUAAAAUCGACCGCCAUGUCGCUAAACUGAGCAACUCAAUUUCAAUCGAUUGCCAAGUCGCUAAACGGAGCAAAUGAAGUUCAGAUUUGACCGUCAAGUCGUUAAACUGAACAAAUGACUGAUAAGUCAUUAAACUGAAUAUCCGACCGCUAUGUCACUAAACUGAACAUCAAAACUCAAAUCGACCGCCAUGUCAUUAAAUUGAGCAACUCAAUUUUAAAUUGACCGCCAUGUCACUAAACUGAGCAUUAAAACUCAAAUCGACCGCCAUGUCAUUAAACUGAGGAACUCAAUUUGAAAUCGACCGCCAUGUCGCUAAACUGAGCAACUCAAUUCAAAAU
Molecule: long non-coding RNA, 1190 nt
Filed under: Ananas comosus (pineapple)
Lineage: Eukaryota; Viridiplantae; Streptophyta; Magnoliopsida; Poales; Bromeliaceae
Description: long non-coding RNA (ACOM_LNC005342)
Source: RNAcentral